This 460-nucleotide ribosomal RNA is filed under the name uncultured organism. RNAcentral's name for it is "bacterial SSU rRNA". It matches the Rfam family "Bacterial small subunit ribosomal RNA", at positions 28 to 507 of the family's 1533-position model. The record is from RNAcentral.
GAUGAACGCUGGCGGCGUGCUUAACACAUGCAAGUCGAACGUGAUAGGUAGCAAUAUCUUGAAAGUGGCGAACGGGUGAGUAACACGUGGGUAACCUGCCUCGGAGUGGGGGAUAACAGUUAGAAAUGACUGCUAAAACCGCAUGAAUCCAUCGAUUGGGGACAAUUAAUGGAGAAAACUCUGGUGCUUCGAGAGGGGCCCGCGGCCGAUUAGCUAGUUGGUGAGGUAAUGGCUCACCAAGGCGACGAUCGGUAGCUGGUCUGAGAGGACGAUCAGCCACACGGGAACUGAGACACGGUCCCGACUCCUACGGGGGGCAGCAGUGAGGAAUAUUGGGCAAUGGGCGCAAGCCUGACCCAGCAACGCCGCGUGGAGGAAUGAAGGCCUUCGGGUUGUAAACUCCUUUUGCAGGGGAAGAGGAAGGACGGUACCCUGCGAAUAAGUCACGGCUAACUACGUG